GCCCCCAUCGUCUAGAGGCCUAGGACACCACCCUUUCAAGGUGGCGACGGGGAUUCGAAUUCCCCUGGGGGUACCA
Molecule: transfer RNA, 76 nt
Filed under: Dehalococcoidia bacterium
Lineage: Bacteria; Bacillati; Chloroflexota; Dehalococcoidia
Description: tRNA-Glu
Rfam family: tRNA
About the family: Transfer RNA (tRNA) molecules are approximately 80 nucleotides in length.
Source: RNAcentral